RNAcentral lists this unclassified non-coding RNA (1808 nucleotides) under Drosophila mojavensis. Its description in RNAcentral is "GI23605". The record is from RNAcentral. Lineage: Eukaryota; Metazoa; Arthropoda; Insecta; Diptera; Drosophilidae.
GAGCAAUAAUUUAAUUCGAAAACGCAUUAGCUUAAACUUCCUAUAUAUAAAUGGCCUUAUAAUAAUUUUCAAUCAUGACACUGCCGCGAAUAACAGACUAUGACAUACAAGAGAAGCUUGGAGUGGGCAGCUAUGCGUCUGUUUACAAGGCGCGCCAUAAAAAACAAGGCACUUAUCACGCCAUUAAGUAUGUGGAAAUGUCCACGUUGUCCCAAAGCUCUCGCGACAAUCUAAUAACGGAAAUUCGUCUGCUGCGCGACCUCAAACAUAAAUAUAUUGUGACGCUGCAGGACUUCUUCUGGGAUGACAAGAACAUAUACAUUGUACUGGAGUAUUGUAAUGCGGGCAAUCUGUCCGCCUUCAUCCGCACAAAGAAGGCGCUGCCGGAGUCCACAUGUCGCUAUUUCUUACGGCAGCUGGCCGCGGCGAUUCAAUAUAUGCGAGCCAACGAUGUCUCGCACUUUGACCUGAAGCCACAGAACUUGUUGCUGACGCGCACCGCUAAUAAUGUCUACUUGAAGGUUGCGGACUUUGGGUUUGCGCAACACCUUAAGCUGGGCGAGAUCAAUCAGCAGCUGAAGGGCUCGCCGCUGUACAUGGCGCCAGAGAUUGUGCGCAAGCAUCAGUACGACGCCAAGGCGGAUCUGUGGAGCGUGGGCGUCAUUCUCUAUGAAUGCCUGUUUGGGAAGGCGCCGUACAGCUCGCGCACCAUUGAGGAGCUGCUGCUGCGCAUCCGGAAGGCGGAGCCCAUUGUGCUGCCACCGAAUGCGCGCAUCAGUAACGAAUGCCACGAUUUGCUGCGGCGCCUGCUGGCGCACGAGCCGGCGCAACGUAUUUCGUUUGCGGAUUUCUUUGCGCAUCCCUUUCUAGAUCUCAAGACUUUUCCCUCGGAGAAAACGAUGAAGAAGGCCAUAGACCUGGUUACCCAGGCGGUCGAGCACGAUGAAAAGCGCAACUACAAGGAGGCCUAUUAUCUGUAUUGCAGCGCAUUGCAAUACUUUGUGCCGCUGAUCACCGAGGAAUCGGACGCCAGCCGGCGCCAAGAGCUACGCCAUCGAGCGCUCACCUAUAUGAAGCGCGCGGAGGAGAUUAAAAACGUUAUCAUCGAGGACGAGUACAAAUUGUUGGCCCAGCGUCAGCAGAAGGCAUUGGAGAAAGGCGCCGCUGCCACAGCCCCCGAGGCUGCCAAUCCACAGACACAGCCAAGCACAUCCCGCAUGAUGGAAAUGCUUGAGCCGGAUGCACGCUAUAAGCAGCUUUUUGCCCUAUCGAACUCGAGCCCCUCGCUGAAGGCUGGCUUGGAAAUCGGACGGCAGGGCGAGCUGUACUUGUACGAGCGCAAGCUGGACGCCGCCUUGGAGUCGUAUACCUCUGCCCUGGGCAUUUUGGUGCCGUUUGUGAACAAUGAGCCGAAGGGCGAGCGACGCAACCUGCUGCUGCAACAGUUGGAGUUCUGGAUCAAGGAGGCUGAGAGCAUCAAGAGUAUACUGAGCGCCAAGCACCUGGAUGACGAGGAACAGAAGAUGUCAACGUCUCACAUUCCAGCAACUGUGCCACACUUUCUGUCGGAUAUCAGGCCACACGUUUAUUUAUUCUUAUGCAUUGUGAUUAAUUUAAUUAAAAUGGUUUAGUCAAGCAUCAAUUCAAAUUAAAGCAGAUCUAUGUGAAUCCGCAUUUCUUUAUUUGCUGUAUCUAUGUGUGGCAAUGGUCUCCCGAGGCAGCAGUGAAUUCCUCUUUGUGAUGGUUUGCAGUGUGGCAGUAACGGAUGGAAAUAUCUAUGGAAGACCUCAGAAGUCAUGGAUGUUCUU